RNAcentral lists this long non-coding RNA (628 nucleotides) under Parus major (Great Tit). RNAcentral's name for it is "lncRNA (ENSPMJG00000003701.1)". The record is from RNAcentral. Lineage: Eukaryota; Metazoa; Chordata; Aves; Passeriformes; Paridae.
GAAAAGAAAAGAAAAGAAAUAAAGAAGUAGUUGGCAUGUUCCUAAUUCAUAAAGAGCUGCAUGAAUGUUCUGUUAGGGCUGUGUGGAAAGGACCAUGGGUGGUUUUUUAAGUAGAUAGCACUUCUUUUAUCGGUCAGAGCUCUUCCUGAUGCCUUCAUGAUGAGUUGCCACCUCCAGGCAGAGGAAGUUCCACAUCAGAGUACUUAAUGGUGGUGUUAAACCUGUGAGACCUGCUGGCAAGGGACCUGCCUUACUGCCUGCAACUCUUGUCACCACUGUCUCCAAAGGACAGGAUAUAAGCUGGAUUCCCAAGCAGUUUGCUUAGGGAAGGAUCUGCAUUACUACUCACACGCACAAAAACCACAAGAACUCUACUAAACAGCAAUAUGUCUUUGGGAACCCAUUUUAACUUCCAUCAUGCCUAUGUCUGUGCUGCUGCCAGAGCUAUUGUUGACUCAAGGAACAGCUUUGUGGCUGUAUUUGCCUGUGCCCUGGUUUGUCCUUGGAAGACAGAGCAUAUGUAUGAAGCAAGCGUGUUGUAAUGGGACAUGUAGGUGCAGCUGUUACAAAGGUAAACAGAACACACCAGCUGUCCUCACAUGGUGCUUUUGCCCUUUUUGCCUUGUCC